GCCGAUGUGGCUCAGUGGUUGAGCAUCAAUCCAUGAACCAAGGGGUCCCGGGUUCGAUUCCCGGUCUGGGCA
Molecule: non-coding RNA, 72 nt
Organism: Myotis brandtii (Brandt's bat)
Lineage: Eukaryota; Metazoa; Chordata; Mammalia; Chiroptera; Vespertilionidae
Source: Rfam